Molecule: ribosomal RNA, 495 nt
Filed under: uncultured bacterium
Lineage: Bacteria
Description: partial 16S ribosomal RNA
Rfam family: Bacterial small subunit ribosomal RNA
Source: RNAcentral
UGAACGCUGGCGGCGUGCCUACUACAUGCAAGUCGCGCGACCAGACGCGGAGCUUGCUCCUCUGACGUUAGCGGCGGACGGGUGAGUAACACGUGGAUAACCUACCUAUAAGACUGGGAUAACUUCGGGAAACCGGAGCUAAUACCGGAUAAUAUAUUGAACCGCAUGGUUCAAUAGUGAAAGACGGUUUUGCUGUCACUUAUAGAUGGAUCCGCGCCGCAUUAGCUAGUUGGUAAGGUAACGGCUUACCAAGGCAACGAUGCGUAGCCGACCUGAGAGGGUGAUCGGCCACACUGGAACUGAGACACGGUCCAGACUCCUACGGGAGGCAGCAGUAGGGAAUCUUCCGCAAUGGGCGAAAGCUUGACGGAGCAACGCCGCGUGAGUGAUGAAGGUCUUCGGAUCGUAAAACUCUGUUAUUAGGGAAGAACAAAUGUGUAAGUAACUAUGCACGUCUUGACGGUACCUAAUCAGAAAGCCACGGCUAACUACGUG